RNAcentral lists this ribosomal RNA (292 nucleotides) under uncultured bacterium. RNAcentral's name for it is "partial 16S ribosomal RNA". It matches the Rfam family "Bacterial small subunit ribosomal RNA", at positions 505 to 796 of the family's 1533-position model. The record is from RNAcentral.
GUGCCAGCAGCCGCGGUAAUACGUAGGGUGCGAGCGUUAAUCGGAAUUACUGGGCGUAAAGCGUGCGCAGGCGGUUGUGUAAGACAGGUGUGAAAUCCCCGGGCUUAACCUGGGAAUUGCAUUUGUGACUGCACGGCUAGAGUUUGGCAGAGGGGGGUAGAAUUCCACGUGUAGCAGUGAAAUGCGUAGAUAUGUGGAGGAAUACCGAUGGCGAAGGCAGCCCCCUGGGUCAAGACUGACGCUCAUGCACGAAAGCGUGGGGAGCAAACAGGAUUAGAAACCCCGGUAGUCC